UCAACCAAGUCUAUUCCUAACAACCCCCCAAAGUACUUAGGCGUUUACUUAGCUCAGUGAAGACGUGUCAGCUCCGUUAUUUGAUUAGCAUUUCUGAGAUAAGACUCCCUGAUCUACUUUCGAGCCUUUUCUGAAGACUGGCCAUGCGACCUCUGGAGGGCUCCCUGCACGGCCAUUGAUUCUAUUCCCAGUUAGAAGAGGAGGAAAACUGCUAAAAAAUCAAAACUAAACAACACAAAAGAAUAACCACCCCCCAGAACCCAGGGAAGGAACAGCAGAGGGAACCAUGGGUGAGGUUCAAAAAAAAAAGAACGAAAAUAUUUUCCAUUCAGAAGACAUAAACCUGCAUGUGUGCACUGAGUGGGGCAAAUCAUUUUGCUCCUUAAUUUUCCCCAGUUGAACACGGCGUUUGUUGUCAGUGUCCUAACCCGUGGCUUUCAGAAGCUGAGAGGUCACGAAACACCUCAUCGAACGACAAAUUCUUAUUUCCUUCAGGGGACUAAAUGCGGAACUGCAGAGACGAGAUAAGAAGCCAGCUCCACGGGAGCAGCGUGGAAAUUCCACCCCGAGUAACAUUUUGGAGCUGAGAGAGCUAAACUCACAGGAAAUCACACACAGGUUCUAAGACACAUUCCCCACAGGUUGUGAACAAAGGUUCAUAAUGUUUCCAAAGUCAGAAUUGUUUACCUUCCUCCACCUACCGCAGAAAACUUACGUAACUUUUUUUUUUCCUCCUAAGGAUAGGUAACAGAUUUUAAAAUAUUCCGGUGAGGUUUCGCCUUACGGCAACCUACCCUGACUUCUCCCCGGACAAAGGAAACUGACUGCCAGAAAAAGACCCAAGAACUCUAGAAUCACUGAAAAUCAGUAACAAACUUGCUCUGACAGCCACUAUGAGAGCAAAACACUUGCAAGGAGAAGUCGGAGUCGUUCCUUCCCUCCACCUAGAUCACUUACACCCACAGCAAACAAGACAACAUCUGGAUAUUGUUUCACAGGCAAGAAUAAAGCACUUUUUUUUUUGCCCCAUCAUUAAGUAAAAAACCCGUUUUCCACAUGCAAA
Ailuropoda melanoleuca (giant panda) is the source of this 1063-nucleotide long non-coding RNA. RefSeq lists it as uncharacterized. Lineage: Eukaryota; Metazoa; Chordata; Mammalia; Carnivora; Ursidae. The transcript has 2 exons. The record is from RefSeq and is a predicted model, not a curated record.